Molecule: non-coding RNA, 3706 nt
Organism: Cherax quadricarinatus
Lineage: Eukaryota; Metazoa; Arthropoda; Malacostraca; Decapoda; Parastacidae
Source: RefSeq, a predicted model, not a curated record
AAGGUGCUUCUCGACAGGUGUGUUUGAGCCACGAUCCAGAGCAACUGAUGGCUCUCCUCUCCCCGGUGUACGUCGCAUUAGCAGUAACGUGUUACCAGACGUAAACCGGCCAGAUGAGUUUUAUACCUCGUCCUUCAUGGUGUGGGGACAGUUCAUUGACCACGAGAUUACCCAUAUUCCUUUCCCUACUAUGGAAAAUGGAGAAGGAAUUCAGUGCUGCCCUAAUGGAACACUGGCACCCGCGGCCAUGCGUCAUCCCAGAUGUAUGCCCAUUGAUCUUACUGGUGACGCCUUCUUUGGGCGUCUAGGAAGAACCUGCAUGAACUUCGUCAGGAGUAUGGUCGCCGUGGGAGCUGGAUCAGAAUGUGUUUUUGGCUAUGCCGAGCAGCUGACCCAGAUUACACACUGGAUAGACGGUUCUGCAAUAUACGGCUCCACUGCCGAACAAAUGCGGAACUUAAGAACAUUCAAGAACGGUCUCUUGAGGACCUCUGGUAACAACAUUUUGCCCGUUAAUAGCAACCAGGGAGGAAACUGCGAGGCUCGGGAACGUGGAGCUCUGUGUCUCUCCGCAGGUGACUCGCGAGUGAAUCAGCAGCCUGGCUUGACCUCCAUUCAAAUUCUGUGGUUGAGACAACACAACCGUGUAGCAGGAGAACUUCAGAAACUGAACCCCAAGUGGUCGGACGAAGCUGUCUUCCAGGAGACCCGCAGGAUCCUCACUGCGCAGGAGCAACACAUCAUUUUCAACGAGUGGCUCCCCAUUGUCUUAGGAAAGAAUCUUAUGACAGCUUUCGGUUUGAAUACACUUAGAUCAGGCUUCAGCAGAGACUAUAACCCCACCAUCAACCCCAACAUGAACAAUGAAUUCUCCACAGCAGCCUUCAGAUUUGGACACAGCUUGGUGCAAGGAACUCUCCGACUGUUUACGCAAAAUGGCGGUGUAGACAACAUCAGGCUUCGUGACCACUUCAACUCUCCUCAUCUCAUCGAGUUACAAAAUCGUCUAGACGACAUUAUUCGAGGCUUCACACAACUUGCUAUGCAACAGUUUGACGCCUUCGUCACGGAGGACUUGACGAACCAUCUGUUCCAGACUCCCAGGUUUACCUUUGGCUUGGACUUGAUGAGUAUCAAUCUUCAACGUGGCCGCGACCACGGCAUCGCCACCUACAACAGCUUCAGAGAGAUCUGCGGUCUACCGCGCGCCCGUACCUUCAACGACCUCACAGACCAGAUGAGUCCUGAAAACGUUCAAAAACUGGCCGGAGUUUACAAGAGCGUUGAUGAUAUUGACUUCUUCGUGGGUGGACUCUCCGAGAGGCCUGUCCCUGGCAGUCUCCUGGGCUGGACUUUCCUCUGUGUCGUAGGAGACCAGUUCGCCAGACUUAAGAAGGCAGAUCGAUACUUCUACGACCUCGCAGGACAACCAGGCUCCUUUAAAGAAGCUCAGUUGCAGCAGAUCCGUCGCUCCUCUUGGGCCAGGCUCAUGUGUGACAACUCUAAUAUUAACGCCGUCCAGCCACUAGCUUUCAGACAGACCAACAACAGAUUUAACCAACCAGUGCCGUGCAACAGUCCCAUGAUCCCACGACCUGACUGGACUCCUUGGCGCGGGGAGAGAGCUGCUGCCUAGCUCUGAUGGGCCCUAGCUCCUGGCUCCUCUAAUGGUUCCUUGCUACUACUUCAUCCGAUAGUUCUUGUUCCUCUCGUUUCCUUGCUCCCUUAAUAGAUUUUGGUUCCCCUGACAGAUCUUUGCUCCUAGCUCCUGGUUCCUCUGAUGGCUCAUGGCUCCUCUGAUAGUGCCUUGUUCUUAACUCAUCUGAUUGUUCUUGCUUCACUCAUUAUUCCUCUCCUAGUUCCUCUGUCGUGUCUUAGCUUCUUUCUCCGUUGUUUAUUGCUAUUGCUGCCCUAGUGGCUAAUUAACUGUUUAUCCAUAACUCAGUCUUUAAGCGUUAGCACAAAAUGAAUUAGAGAACACAAAAAUGUCUUCAUCACACCCCACUGGGUAAAUGAUUAUUUUUUUUAACACGUCGGUAGUUUUCCACCGAGGCAGGGUGUCCCAAAGAAAGAAAAACUUUAGUCAUUCAACACUUUCACCAUUAUACAUAAUCACUGUCUUUGCAGAGGCGCUCAGAUACGACAGUUUAGAUGUCACUCCAAACAGCCAAUAUCCCAACCUCCUUUAAAGUGCAGGCAUUGUACUUCCCAACUCCAGGACUCAAGUCCAGCUAACUGGCUUCCCUGAAUCCCUUCACAAAAUAUUACCCUCCAACAGCUCGUCAGGCCCCCCAGAACGAUUAGUCUCCAUUCACUCCUAUGUAACACGCUCACGCAUGCUUGCUAGAAGUCCACAAAACCUCCUUUACCCCCCCCCCUCCAAACUUUCCUAGGACUACCCUUACCCCGCAGAUAUUACAGAAUUAUAUAAUACUUUUCUCUGACUGAUGAAACAACAAAACUACCUCAUGUUCUCGCAUAUCUUUAAUAAUGAAUUGAUUUAUCAGCUUUCUUAAAAGUUGUAUUUUUGGACUGUGUAAGAAUGUACCGUAGGUGUCCUUACUAUCUUGUUCUACUUAUUGUAGUUAAUCUGACUAACACUAGAUUGAAUAAGGUAAUUAGCGAUGUGAUUGUAGUAUGAACUAGGUAUCACAUACAACAACUUUUAGUAUAUAAUAAAUAAUUUUUGCUGAUUGUUUCAUAGUCAAAAUUGUCAACUGGAGUUUUUUUUUUUUUUCAAACAUACAUCUAGCAAAAAAAAUCCUGAUUUUAUGUGACUUCCUCAUUGCCAAUGACUACGAGUGAGAGAAGGUAGAGAACACCUUAAAUUACGAGUGAGAGAAGGUAGAGAACACCUUAAAUUAGGAAUCCCCCGAAAGGGGAUGUCUAUUGUGGCUGUCGGAUUAUUUUUUUUUUCCUUCAAAAUGUCAGUGCAACACCUUAAGAACGUCGAUUCUGGUCAACUUCACUUUGUUUUUUACUAACGUGUCCUCGUUAAAGGCAGGCAUAAAUUAUUGGAUAUAAGUAAGUAAGUUUAUUCAGGUAUACACAAAUACAGUUACAUAGAAUUAUCAUACAUAGCAGCAUAUGUGUAGAGAACCUGGGAUAACCCAAAAAAGUCAGACAGUGACUUAUUUCCAUUGGGGUCCUUUUACCUUAUUAUUAUAAUAUAAAGGUUAUAAUAUUUUCUUAUUAUUCUACAAUGAAGAUAACAUCUUAUUAUCAUACUAAAAAGACUAUCUACUACACGAGGGUCAUUAAGACUAUCUACAAUACGAGGGUCAUUACUAGGAAUAAAGUAAAAUUUACAUGUAUGUUAGCUAAAAAAUAGAAAAUUAUUCCCCUCCCUUUCUGUAGCUACAUUCAUCAGACACCUUUUGGCACUUCUUGAACUGGUUCAUGCUAUGACUGGCUUUGACAUGUGCGGGCAGUCUGUUCCAUUCCUUUAUUGCUGUACAAUAAAAGGUGUUUGAUGCCUGGCCAAUGACUGUGGGUACUACAAAGUUGUGCUCUCUCCCCCUAGUACUAUGAUUGUUUUGGUUCCCAACCUUGACAAAAUUGACAGCAAGAUAUUCUGGACACUGUUUGUGAGCAAUUUUAUAAACAUGAUUUAGCUUCAGUUGUUUUACUCUGUCUUCAACAUUCAGCAUAUCCAACUGCUGUAAUUCAUCCUGGCCUACAUGUUCUCUUGGUCCCAGCCCCAGGA